AGAGUUUGAUCCUGGCUCAGAUUGAACGCUGGCGGCAGGCCUAACACAUGCAAGUCGAACGGUAACAGGAAGAAGCUUGCUUCUUUGCUGACGAGUGGCGGACGGGUGAGUAAUGUCUGGGAAACUGCCUGAUGGAGGGGGAUAACUACUGGAAACGGUAGCUAAUACCGCAUAACGUCGCAAGACCAAAGAGGGGGACCUUCGGGCCUCUUGCCAUCGGAUGUGCCCAGAUGGGAUUAGCUAGUAGGUGGGGUAACGGCUCACCUAGGCGACGAUCCCUAGCUGGUCUGAGAGGAUGACCAGCCACACUGGAACUGAGACACGGUCCAGACUCCUACGGGAGGCAGCAGUGGGGAAUAUUGCACAAUGGGCGCAAGCCUGAUGCAGCCAUGCCGCGUGUAUGAAGAAGGCCUUCGGGUUGUAAAGUACUUUCAGCGGGGAGGAAGGUGUUGAGGUUAAUAACCUCAGCAAUUGACGUUACCCGCAGAAGAAGCACCGGCUAACUCCGUGCCAGCAGCCGCGGUAAUACGGAGGUUGCAAGCGUUAAUCGGAAUUACUGGGCGUAAAGCGCACGCAGGCGGUCUGUCAAGUCGGAUGUGAAAUCCCCGGGCUCAACCUGGGAACUGCAUUCGAAACUGGCAGGCUAGAGUCUUGUAGAGGGGGGUAGAAUUCCAGGUGUAGCGGUGAAAUGCGUAGAGAUCUGGAGGAAUACCGAUGGCGAAGGCAGCCAUCUGGCCUAAUACUGACGCUGAGGUACGAAAGCAUGGGGAGCAAACAGGAUUAGAUACCCUGGUAGUCCA
Molecule: ribosomal RNA, 800 nt
Filed under: uncultured bacterium
Lineage: Bacteria
Description: bacterial SSU rRNA
Rfam family: Bacterial small subunit ribosomal RNA
Source: RNAcentral